GUUGCUUGCCCGGCAUUUGAGUUGGGUUGGGUGGCUAUUAGUUUGAUGGCUUCGGGGAUGUCUACCGUAAAGGUGCAUGAGUGGUGUUUGGUUUGUUACGGGUGGUUGGCUCUUUGCUUGCGCAACAACUUCCACCUGACUUACCUCUUCAGUCUUGUGUCAAUGCUUGUUUUGCAUUGAUUUCAUGGUGGGUUUCCUGUGUUGCAUGCCUAACUGAUGGUAUCAUUCGAAUAAUUGAUGUCCAUUUUCAUCUUGUGUCGCACAUGUGAUAUGAGAUGAACCUUGAAGCAGCCUUUGUGUUCCACUCUUUUGAUGCACAUGCAUUGAUUUUGUGGCCCAUUGAGUGUUGCUUUGUCUCUUGAAAUAUGGAACCUUGUGUGGGCAUGGAUCUUUACUAGUUUCCUUGUUUGCCCUAGUUUAGCUUUUCUGACGCGAUGGUCUAUCAUGUCUUAACGUGGUAGGCUAUAUCGAAAA
Molecule: unclassified non-coding RNA, 474 nt
Filed under: Omalotheca norvegica
Lineage: Eukaryota; Viridiplantae; Streptophyta; Magnoliopsida; Asterales; Asteraceae
Description: Gnaphalium norvegicum partial external transcribed spacer
Source: RNAcentral